Paramisgurnus dabryanus is the source of this 341-nucleotide long non-coding RNA. RefSeq lists it as uncharacterized. The record is from RefSeq and is a predicted model, not a curated record. NCBI's taxonomy places the organism in Eukaryota, Metazoa, Chordata, Actinopteri, Cypriniformes, Cobitidae.
UGCACAAAACGUGCUUUACAGCAUAGUCUUAAUUAUAGUCGAAACUAGUUUUAAAGAUUAUAUGCCACACCAAAACUUUAAUAGGAUCUCAGUUUAAAUGUGGAAGCAAAAUGUAGAUGGUUUAUCCAUGAUGAGAAAAGACUAAAAUGGAAGCUUAACCUGCCUGGAUUCUCUGAUAACCGCUCACACCCUGACAGCCAUGAUUGACCCUGACCCACAGAAUGACACAGAGAAUCAAACCCAUGGCCUGAGCUAUAGGAACAUCUUUUAAAAGCAAUUUUGGAAGUGAAUACCUUCGAGAGAAAAGCGGUAAAGUUCAUUGGUCAGAUCAGAGACCAAAU